Molecule: long non-coding RNA, 596 nt
Filed under: Bos grunniens (domestic yak)
Lineage: Eukaryota; Metazoa; Chordata; Mammalia; Artiodactyla; Bovidae
Description: lncRNA (ENSBGRG00000014145.1)
Source: RNAcentral
ACCCCCACCCGUGUCGGCCCCGCGGCACUGCGGUUUCGCGUUCCUGGAUGCCCCGCACCAAGCCCGCCGCGAGGUCGCAGGGCAGAGACUGCCUUCAGCUUUUGGUCCUCCGUUCCCUUAGUCUCAAGCAUCACCACCCCCCGCCCCCCGCCUUUACCAUCUGGGUUUGGGUACUUCUGGGUGGAGAGCAGAACCCAAGCCUGUCCUUGCCGCCCUCCUCCCGGUUCUCCUCCAGCACUCCAGUCCCAGGUAAACGUCUCCCAGCGGGCGAAAGGUGCGCCGCGGCUCCCGCCCCUGCCUUGCAAGCAGGCCCCUCUCCAAGCACUGCGCAGCUCCUUCCCAGGGCGCCCUCGGUCCGUUUUCCGAAGCCUCGGGUCGGGAGGGCUUGCUUGAGCGCCAGAGACCUAUCUAUCCCUGCACCCCGGGUCCCGCCCUGGCUCCAGCUCCCACCUGGCCUCCGGUCCUCCGCCGCUGCAGCAGCCCGCAGACGCGCCGCCGCCUCCAGUUGCUGCACCGUGCCCCGCGCCCGCAGUUUUCACCAGGGGUGGGAGAGGGGGAGCGGGGAGGGCCCGGGGGCUCGUCCAAUCAGAGGCUGA